RNAcentral lists this long non-coding RNA (1234 nucleotides) under Mus musculus (house mouse). Its description in RNAcentral is "RIKEN cDNA 5430437J10 gene". The record is from RNAcentral. Lineage: Eukaryota; Metazoa; Chordata; Mammalia; Rodentia; Muridae.
UAGAAAAGGGUGGGAUGAAGAUGGCUUUUACAUCUCUAGGACGGAGGUGUUAGAAGCUGGAUCAGGGACUGGAUCAGAGGAUCAGGGGAGACAAGAAAGAAUUCACUAUAGAGGCUGAGCAGUGGUGCUCCAGGAACUUGUCUACUGUGGGGUAGAUUCAUGAUAACCUACUUAAGGCGGCAGCCACUAGAAGAAGGAAGAGUCAACACAGAAUGCAAAGCAUGGUAUUUUGUUUUUAUUUUUCAAGCUACUUCAUCUGGGAUUUAAUGGACUUUGUGAGCAUCUCACAGCCCACUCAAGACUAUGUUCAGGAUACUCCAUAAGAAGUGCUGCCUUCACCCCAGGCUGCUGAAAAGCAGGUCACAGGCUAGAUCCAUCUGGGGCUGACUUUGGCUGGAAGGCCACAGCAAUGGGAAAGAAUGAUGGGAAUGAGAAAACUUGCCCUGCAAAGAUAAAGUGGAGCUGGGAACUUGAAAAUGCCUCUCCUGCAGCCAUCUUAACCCUGAAGAAAGCCUUGAAGGACAAAUGGCAGAGGAUAGCAUGGAAGUUGGAAUCUGCAAUGAAGGUGAGAAGAUCUUCCAGCACUUUGGUGGGUAUAAAACCCAGAUCCUCUGCAAGGGUUGGAAGUGCGCCUAUUGCUGAGCCAACUCGUCAGCUUUGAGUCGGUCUAUGUGCAUGUUUGUAAAGACUUGUCUUGAUUGUCUACUACUGUGCGAGGGUCCAGUCCACUGUGGGCGGAACUGUUCACUGAGCAGGUGGUUCUGGAUUGUAGAAGAAAGCUAGGGAUCCUUUAUGAAUUGUAGCAUGGAGGAUAGGUGGUCUUGUCAUCAUCCCAGGAGAAGGAAACGUUACCACCAGGUUACCUUGGAUGUGGAGUCGGUGGACACCCCCAAGAUCCCUAGAGGACUCUCCACAUGAUCUUAGGACCUCUGAAGGAUUUAUAUAUGAUAACUGGAUCUGCCUGGAAUACCAGAAGAGGAGAAGUAACUGACUAAGGAAACCCAUUUUCACUAAUUAUCUAACCUACUGUCUGAAGAUAAGAAAAGGAAGGGAAAGGAUUGCAUGUUAACUGGGGCCCUUAUCUCCUCCUAUCCUCAGCUAUGUCAGUCAGACUCAAGUGUGACUUGCACCAUGUGUGUUUCUUGUUUUCUAACCUGUAGAAGAUGGGUUAUGGGUUAUUGAUAAUCAUGUAAGACAUUUCCUGCAAUAAAACUUCACUUGUUCUUUCUUCCCA